RNAcentral lists this ribosomal RNA (393 nucleotides) under bacterium. Its description in RNAcentral is "bacterial SSU rRNA". It matches the Rfam family "Bacterial small subunit ribosomal RNA", at positions 420 to 826 of the family's 1533-position model. The record is from RNAcentral.
GGGUUGUAAACCUCUUUUAGUAGGGAAGAAGCGAAAGUGACGGUACCUGCAGAAAAAGCACCGGCUAACUACGUGCCGCAGCCGGGGUAAUACGUAGGGGGCAAGCGUUGUCCGGAAUUAUUGGGCGUAAAGAGCUCGUAGGCGGUUUGUCGCGUCUGCUGUGAAAACCCGAGGCUCAACCUCGGGCCUGCAGGGGGUACGGGCAGACUAGAGUGCGGUAGGGGAGAUUGGAAUUCCUGGUGUAGCGGUGGAAUGCGCAGAUAUCAGGAGGAACACCAAUGGCGAAGGCAGAUCUCUGGGCCGUAACUGACCCUGAGGAGCGAAAGCAUGGGGAGCGAACAGGAUUAGAUACCCUGGUGGUCCAUGCCGUAAACGUUGGGAACUAGAUGUGGG